Long non-coding RNA from Pseudophryne corroboree (corroboree frog), 995 nucleotides. RefSeq lists it as uncharacterized. NCBI's taxonomy places the organism in Eukaryota, Metazoa, Chordata, Amphibia, Anura, Myobatrachidae. The transcript is spliced from 4 exons. The record is from RefSeq and is a predicted model, not a curated record.
GCACUGGUGGCGACAUCAUGUAUUCGCCGGAGAUGGCAAGUAAACUAGUGGUCCUGUGCGCUAUACUCCACAAUAUCGCGGUAAGGAGUAGCGUAGAGCUUCCUCAGACAGAGGAAUUGCCUGAUGAGGAGCCAGGGGUUGUCCGACACUUCGGUGGGGGGAGUGUUACAAGGAGGGGGAGCCAAGUCAGGGCAAGCAUUGUUGCUGAAUUUUUCAGCUGAAAGACCACACAAACUGAGGACGACCACAACGGCAAGCACCACAUGAUGCACCAGCUCAGCACCCUUCCCCUUCUCACUCCCCCUCCACUUCCCAGUCCCCCUCCCCUUCUCACUCCCCCUCCCCUUCUCACUCCCCCUCCCCUUCUCACUCCCCCUCAGCUUCCCAAUCCCCCUCAGCUUCCCAAUCCACCUCAGCUUCCCAAUCACCCUCAGCUUCACAAUCCACCUCAGCUUCCCAGUCACCCUCAGCUUCCCAGGCCCCCUCAGCUUCCCAGGCCCACUCCACUUUCCACUCCCCUUCUCAGCCAACCUCUCCUUCUCUUUCUGUGACCCCUUCUCCUCCUUCCCAUACCCCUUCUCCUUCUACUUCCAACUCACCUUCUCAGCCCCCCUCACCCUCUAUUGGCCUAACAUUUUCACCGCCCCCCUCGCCCUCUCAAUCAGACCCACCCUCUGAAAUUACAUCCCCAAUCCAACCUCCUUCCCCCAUCCAGCCUCCUUCCCCCAUCAAGCCUCCUUCACCCAUCCAGCCUCCUUCCCCCAUCCAGCCUCCUUCCCCAAUCCCUCCUCCUUCCCCCAUCCAGCCGCCUUCCCCCAUCCAGCCGCCAUCCCCACCCAGUGAAUGGGCAGAGGAAGCCCCUGAAGACAGUUCAGGGAGUCUUCAUGUUGCCGAGGAAAAUGUUGCAGUUGGAGAUCCUACAAGUUUUGGAGGCAUUCUUUACACCAUGCGCCAACACCUGCAAGGAUUAAUGCAUUGUGUUGAUCAUUUGCAAA